Aspergillus sclerotiicarbonarius CBS 121057 is the source of this 131-nucleotide non-coding RNA. Lineage: Eukaryota; Fungi; Ascomycota; Eurotiomycetes; Eurotiales; Aspergillaceae. The record is from the annotation of a GenBank genome assembly.
GUCUCGGUGGCGCAAUUGGUAAGCUUGCCCUUUUAAACAUUCAUCCCAUCACCCAGUAACUAAUUCAAAUAACAGGUUAGCGCGUACGACUGUUAAUCGUGAGGUUGAGAGUUCGAUCCUCUCCCGGGACG